This 253-nucleotide ribosomal RNA is filed under the name uncultured bacterium. RNAcentral's name for it is "partial 16S ribosomal RNA". It matches the Rfam family "Bacterial small subunit ribosomal RNA", at positions 524 to 776 of the family's 1533-position model. The record is from RNAcentral.
UACAGAGGGGGCAAGCGUUGUUCGGAAUUACUGGGCGUAAAGGGCGCGUAGGUGGCCUUCUAAGUUGAACGUGAAAUCCCUGGGCUCAACCCAGGAACUGCGUCCAAGACUGGGAGGCUUGAAUCCGGGAGAGGGAUGCGGAAUUCCAGGUGUAGCGGUGAAAUGCGCAGAUAUCGGGAAGAACACCCGUGGCGAAGGCGGCUCUCUGGGACGGUACUGACGCUGAGACGCGAAAGCGUGGGGAGCGAACAGG